UAAAGAAUAUUGGUCAAUGGACGCAAGUCUGAACCAGCCAUGCCGCGUGAAGGAUGAAGGUCCUCUGGAUUGUAAACUUCUUUUAUCUGGGACGAAAACGGGAUUUUUAUCUCAAUUGACGGUACCAGAGGAAUAAGCGCCGGCUAACUCCGUGCCAGCAGCCGCGGUAAUACGGAGGGUGCGAGCGUUAUCCGGAUUUACUGGGUUUAAAGGGUGCGUAGGUGGGCUUAUAAGUCAGUGGUGAAAUCUCCGAGCUUAACUUGGAAACUGCCGUUGAUACUAUAGGUCUUGAAUUAUCUGGAGGUAAGCGGAAUAUGUCAUGUAGCGGUGAAAUGCUUAGAUAUGACAUAGAACACCAAUUGCGAAGGCAGCUUACUACAUAUAAAUUGACGCUGAGGCACGAAAGCGUGGGGAUCAAACA
Molecule: ribosomal RNA, 421 nt
Filed under: uncultured bacterium
Lineage: Bacteria
Description: bacterial SSU rRNA
Rfam family: Bacterial small subunit ribosomal RNA
Source: RNAcentral